UAAUACGUAGGGGGCAAGCGUUGUCCGGAUUUAUUGGGCGUAAAGAGCGUGUAGGCGGCUUGGUAGGUCCGCUGUGAAAACUCGAGGCUUAACCUCGAGAUGUCGGCGGAAACCACUUGGCUAGAGUCCGGAAGAGGAGAGUGGAAUUCCCGGUGUAGCGGUGAAAUGCGCAGAUAUCGGGAAGAACACCUAUGGCGAAGGCAGCUCUCUGGGACGGUACUGACGCUGAGACGCGAAAGCGUGGGGAGCGAACAGGAUUAGAUACCCUGGUAGUCCACGCCGUAAACGAUGGGUGCUAGGUGUGGGCGGUGUCGACUCCGUCCGUGCCGAAGCUAACGCAUUAAGCACCCCGCCUGGGGAGUACGGCCGCAAGGCUA
Molecule: ribosomal RNA, 377 nt
Filed under: uncultured bacterium
Lineage: Bacteria
Description: bacterial SSU rRNA
Rfam family: Bacterial small subunit ribosomal RNA
Source: RNAcentral